This is a long non-coding RNA of Sapajus apella (tufted capuchin), 103 nucleotides long. RefSeq lists it as uncharacterized. NCBI's taxonomy places the organism in Eukaryota, Metazoa, Chordata, Mammalia, Primates, Cebidae. The record is from RefSeq and is a predicted model, not a curated record. The transcript has 3 exons.
GGACACGAACACACAUGAGGAGUUUAGGAGUGGAAGUUUAAUAGAAGAGAAGAGAAAGAGAAACAGUUUCCUCUAUAGAGGAAGGGUCAUAGGAACAGAGAAA